AUUGAACGCUGGCGGCAUGCUUUACACAUGCAAGUCGAACGGUAACAGGCCUUCGGGUGCUGACGAGUGGCGAACGGGUGAGUAAUGCAUCGGAACGUGCCCAGAGGUGGGGGAUAACGCAGCGAAAGCUGUACUAAUACCGCAUGUGAUCUGAGGAUGAAAGCGGGGGACCAGGCAGCAAUGUUUGGCCUCGCGCCUUUGGAGCGGCCGAUGUCAGAUUAGGUAGUUGGUGGGGUAAAGGCCUACCAAGCCGACGAUCUGUAGCUGGUCUGAGAGGACGACCAGCCACACUGGGACUGAGACACGGCCCAGACUCCUACGGGAGGCAGCAGUGGGGAAUUUUGGACAAUGGGCGCAAGCCUGAUCCAGCAAUGCCGCGUGCGGGAAGAAGGCCUUCGGGUUGUAAACCGCUUUUGUACGGAACGAAAAGGCUCUGGCUAAUACCUGGGGCUGAUGACGGUACCGGAAGAAUAAGCACCGGCUAACUACGUG
RNAcentral lists this ribosomal RNA (492 nucleotides) under uncultured bacterium. Its description in RNAcentral is "partial 16S ribosomal RNA". It matches the Rfam family "Bacterial small subunit ribosomal RNA", at positions 30 to 507 of the family's 1533-position model. The record is from RNAcentral.